This 567-nucleotide ribosomal RNA is filed under the name uncultured Glomeromycotina. RNAcentral describes it as "SSU rRNA". It matches the Rfam family "Eukaryotic small subunit ribosomal RNA", at positions 548 to 1114 of the family's 1831-position model. Lineage: Eukaryota; Fungi; Glomeromycota. The record is from RNAcentral.
UUGGAGGGCAAGUCUGGUGCCAGCAGCCGCGGUAAUUCCAGCUCCAAUAGCGUAUAUUAAAGUUGUUGCAGUUAAAAAGCUCGUAGUUGAAUUUCGGAGUUUGUCGGUUGGUCGGGCUUCACUGUCCGCACUGGCCUGAUGGAUUCCUACCUUCUGAAUAACCAGCAUGCUAUUAAGUUAGUGCGUUGGGGAAGCAGAGCUAUUACCUUGAAAAAAUUAGAGUGCUUAAAGCAGGCUUAUGCUUGAAUAGAUUAGCAUGGAAUAAUAAAAUAGGACGGCAUGGUUCUAUUUUGUUGGUUUCUAGGAUCACCGUAAUGAUUAAUAGGGAUAGUUGGGGGCAUUAGUAUUCAAUUGUCAGAGGUGAAAUUCUUGGAUUUAUUGAAGACUAACUUCUGCGAAAGCAUUUGCCAAGGAUGUUUUCAUUAAUCAAGAACGAAAGUUAGGGGAUCGAAGACGAUCAGAUACCGUCGUAGUCUUAACCAUAAACUAUGCCGACUAGGGAUCGGACGAUGUUAAUUUUUUAAUGACUCGUUCGGCGCCUCACGGGAAACCAAAGUGUUUGGGUUC